CCUACGGGAGGCAGCAGUGGGGAAUUUUGGACAAUGGGCGCAAGCCUGAUCCAGCAAUGCCGCGUGAGUGAAGAAGGCCUUCGGGUUGUAAAGCUCUUUUGUCAGGGAAGAAACGGUGGAGGCUAAUAUCCUUUGCUAAUGACGGUACCUGAAGAAUAAGCACCGGCUAACUACGUGCCAGCAGCCGCGGUAAUACGUAGGGUGCAAGCGUUAAUCGGAAUUACUGGGCGUAAAGCGUGCGCAGGCGGUUUUGUAAGUUUGUCGUGAAAUCCCCGGGCUCAACCUGGGAAUGGCGAUGAAGACUGCAAGGCUAGAAUCUGGCAGAGGGGGGUAGAAUUCCACGUGUAGCAGUGAAAUGCGUAGAGAUGUGGAGGAACACCGAUGGCGAAGGCAGCCCCCUGGGUCAAGAUUGACGCUCAUGCACGAAAGCGUGGGGAGCAAACAGGAUUAGAUACCCUGGUAGUCCACGCCCUAAACGAUGUCUACUAGUUGUCGGGUUUUAAUUAACUUGGUAACGCAGCUAACGCGUGAAGUAGACCGCCUGGGGAGGUACGGUCGCGAAGAGUAAACGUUACGAAGUAAGUUAGUUAGCGNGAGAGNGCGACGGACGACGACGAGGGAGGAGG
RNAcentral lists this ribosomal RNA (626 nucleotides) under uncultured bacterium. RNAcentral's name for it is "bacterial SSU rRNA". The stretch from base 1 to 542 matches the Rfam family "Bacterial small subunit ribosomal RNA", at positions 338 to 873 of the family's 1533-position model. The record is from RNAcentral.